GCCCUGGUGGAUCAACGUAGAUCAGCCCUGAUUCUUACGCCCAUUCCGCACACAAAGUCUGGGGCAGAUGGAGGUUCGAAUCCUCCCUAGGGCA
This is a non-coding RNA of Mycena leptocephala, 94 nucleotides long. The record is from the annotation of a GenBank genome assembly. Lineage: Eukaryota; Fungi; Basidiomycota; Agaricomycetes; Agaricales; Mycenaceae.